This 380-nucleotide ribosomal RNA is filed under the name Staphylococcus equorum. Its description in RNAcentral is "bacterial SSU rRNA". It matches the Rfam family "Bacterial small subunit ribosomal RNA", at positions 158 to 525 of the family's 1533-position model. The record is from RNAcentral. Lineage: Bacteria; Bacillati; Bacillota; Bacilli; Caryophanales; Staphylococcaceae.
CGGAGCUAAUGCCGGAUAACAUUUGGAACCGCAUGGUUCUAAAGUAAAAGAUGGUUUUGCUAUCACUUAUAGAUGGACCCGCGCCGUAUUAGCUAGUUGGUAAGGUAACGGCUUACCAAGGCAACGAUACGUAGCCGACCUGAGAGGGUGAUCGGCCACACUGGAACUGAGACACGGUCCAGACUCCUACGGGAGGCAGCAGUAGGGAAUCUUCCGCAAUGGACGAAAGUCUGACGGAGCAACGCCGCGUGAGUGAUGAAGGUUUUCGGAUCGUAAAACUCUGUUAUUAGGGAAGAACAAAUGUGUAAGUAACUGUGCACAUCUUGACGGUACCUAAUCAGAAAGCCACGGCUAACUACGUGCCAGCAGCCGCGGUAAUA